This 779-nucleotide long non-coding RNA is filed under the name Bos indicus x Bos taurus (hybrid cattle). Its description in RNAcentral is "lncRNA (ENSBIXG00000017814.1)". Lineage: Eukaryota; Metazoa; Chordata; Mammalia; Artiodactyla; Bovidae. The record is from RNAcentral.
AUGGACUGUAAGCCUAUCAGGCUCCUCCGUCCAUGGGAUUUUCCAGGCAAGAGUGCUGGAGUAGAUUGCCAUUUCCUUCUCCAGAGGAUCUUCCUGACCCAGGAAUUGAACCCGGGUCUCCUGCAUUGCAGGCAGAUGCUUUACCGUCUGAGCCACGAGGGAAGCCCCUGGGACAUGGAGGGACCUGAGGUAUGGCCUCUGUUGGGGCUUGCAGCCCAGCUCUGGCCUUCUAGACUGAGCCAGAGGCGUCCGGGCCACCUGGGAACUUGUUGGAGGCUCAGAGCGUCAGGCCCCGCCUGGGGAUCCUAAAGCAGCAGGUGGGCGGCAGGAGAGGCCUGCGCACCAUGGCCUGCAGUCAUCUGUGGGACAGGAGUCUGUCCCGCCCCCAACCCCAGCCUCAGACCAGUUCAUCACCUGUGCCGUCCCUCAUCUUCCUGCCUCUCAAGUCUGCUUUGCAAGGCUCCUCUCGGGACAUUUAACCCUGCAGCCUCAGUUUCCUCAAGUAAGAAUGAGGAUAAAAAUGCCCACAAGUGGGAUUCACAUCCAGGGAGGUCAUGGAUAAACAGUACAUGGCCGAGGCAGAGUCAGGGCUACCCUAAUUACUGCCAGCACCCCAUGUCUGGCGGGUCUGUGCUAGGGUUCCUUUGGGGAUGCAGGAGAGACCUGUUCAUGGGGUGGGGGUCUGGGAUGAACCCUAGGAGCUGAGAGGGAGCACAAUGACUGGAGCUUACUCACAGCAGCCUGACGAGGGAGGAAGGAAGGGAGGGCAAGCCGAGCAC